This 699-nucleotide ribosomal RNA is filed under the name Streptomyces sp. Its description in RNAcentral is "bacterial SSU rRNA". It matches the Rfam family "Bacterial small subunit ribosomal RNA", at positions 57 to 773 of the family's 1533-position model. The record is from RNAcentral. Lineage: Bacteria; Bacillati; Actinomycetota; Actinomycetes; Kitasatosporales; Streptomycetaceae.
GCAGUUCGAACGAUGAAGCCUUUCGGGGUGGAUUAGUGGCGAACGGGUGAGUAACACGUGGGCAAUCUGCCCUUCACUCUGGGACAAGCCCUGGAAACGGGGUCUAAUACCGGAUAACACUCUGUCCUGCAUGGGACGGGGUUAAAAGCUCCGGCGGUGAAGGAUGAGCCCGCGGCCUAUCAGCUUGUUGGUGGGGUAAUGGCCUACCAAGGCGACGACGGGUAGCCGGCCUGAGAGGGCGACCGGCCACACUGGGACUGAGACACGGCCCAGACUCCUACGGGAGGCAGCAGUGGGGAAUAUUGCACAAUGGGCGAAAGCCUGAUGCAGCGACGCCGCGUGAGGGAUGACGGCCUUCGGGUUGUAAACCUCUUUCAGCAGGGAAGAAGCGAAAGUGACGGUACCUGCAGAAGAAGCGCCGGCUAACUACGUGCCAGCAGCCGCGGUAAUACGUAGGGCGCAAGCGUUGUCCGGAAUUAUUGGGCGUAAAGAGCUCGUAGGCGGCUUGUCACGUCGGAUGUGAAAGCCCGGGGCUUAACCCCGGGUCUGCAUUCGAUACGGGCUAGCUAGAGUGUGGUAGGGGAGAUCGGAAUUCCUGGUGUAGCGGUGAAAUGCGCAGAUAUCAGGAGGAACACCGGUGGCGAAGGCGGAUCUCUGGGCCAUUACUGACGCUGAGGAGCGAAAGCGUGGGGAGCGAAC